AUGUUCAGAAGAAGAGCCUGAAGGUCCAGCAGUGGUUCAGAUGUUCAGAAGAAGAGCCUGAAGGUCCAGCAGUGGUUCAGAUGUUCAGAAGAAGAGCCUGAAGGUCCAGCAGUGGUUCAGAUGUUCAGAAGAAGAGCCUGAAGGUCCAGCAGUGGUUCAGAUGUUCAGAAGAAGAGCCUGAAGGUCCAGCAGUGGUUCAGAUGUUCAGAAGAAGAGCCUGAAGGUCCAGCAGUGGUUCAGUUGUUCAGAAGAGCCUGAAGGUCCAGCAGUGGUUCAGAUGUUCAGAAGAAGAGCCUGAAGGUCCAGCAGUGGUUCAGUUGUUCAGAAGAAGAGCCUGAAGGUCCAGCAGUGGUUCAGAUGUUCAGAAGAAGAGCCUGAAGGUCCAGCAGUGGUUCAGAUGUUCAGAAGAAGAGCCUGAAGGUCCAGCAGUGGUUCAGAUGUUCAGAAGAGCCUGAAGGUCCAGCAGUGGUUCAGAUGUUCAGAAGAGCCUGAAGGUCCAGCAGUGGUUCAGAUGUUCGCUCAGCUGGCUCUAAGUGGGUAAAAAUAUUCAAACAAAUCCUUCACUGAAUAUUUUCUUCACCAGUGGAACAGCAUGAAUGAAAACAUGUCAGAGCUGAUUGACUUCCUGUUGGGUCACAGAUCCAGUUAAUGUCUUGUUAGGACGAGUUUAUGUUUAAAUUUAAUUCUCUUAAACCCUUUAUAUGAAUAAACUAUAAAGUGUGAUGAAGAAGAAACCAAACUGUGUAAAACAGGCUCAGUGUUGGACUGAGAAGGUCGCUGAUGUAGAACGUUUCUCCUGAUAAAUGAACACCAGAGACUGAUGAGAGCAGCCAGAGCUGGUUUAUGAGCUUCCAGUAGUCGAAUCAUCUGAUGAAAUCACUGUUCAGGUGGUUUGUUUCUGCCAUAUUUAUGUUCAGUCUGACUGCAGCUACAAAAACAGAAGCUGUAGAAACUCUGCAGUCAUGAAAAAAGAAACUUUAAAAUUGUUGAUUUUAUCAUUUUAAAGGUUACCAUUUAUUAAAAACUGUUAAAAGUCAUGAAGUGAAACUUCAACAUUUGGUCUAUUUUCUGUAUUUUGUUUCUCUGCUCCUUUAAUUCUUAUGGAGACGCUUUGAUCGGUUCCAGUCCGACUCCUCUGUAGCCGAACAUGAUUUCUUUAAAGCCUCGUAUUUAUUCAAGUUGAAUUUCUGGGUCUCUUGACUACAGAGCAGUUCUAGCUGCUGUAGAAAUUAAAACAUUCAGUCCACACAGACUUUAAACCAGUAAAGGUGGAAACUUUAACAAGGAAACCAAACUGGGAG
Amphiprion ocellaris (clown anemonefish) is the source of this 1301-nucleotide long non-coding RNA. NCBI's taxonomy places the organism in Eukaryota, Metazoa, Chordata, Actinopteri, Pomacentridae. The record is from Ensembl.